This is a long non-coding RNA of Prionailurus viverrinus (fishing cat), 1420 nucleotides long. RefSeq lists it as uncharacterized. The transcript has 3 exons. Lineage: Eukaryota; Metazoa; Chordata; Mammalia; Carnivora; Felidae. The record is from RefSeq and is a predicted model, not a curated record.
GCCACCCAGGUACCCCUACCACAAUUAAACAGACAAACAAACAAAAAAAUCCUUUGGGGAUUCCCAGCUGGCUCGGUCGAUAAGCAUGUGACUCUUGAGCUCAGCGUCCUGAGCUCAGUCUCCACAUUGGGUGUGGAGCCUGCUGAAAAGUAAACAACUAAGGAAGUCCAUCUGUCCUUCGGUGUCCCUGCCACUGGAAAUUUCUCACUGGAAUUCAUGCCAGGCUGUGGCUCCUGCCAUCUUGUUUUGUGCCCCCACCCACUUCAUUUCAUUUCUCUGACCUUCCCUGCCUUCUCUCUCCUUGGGGUCCCUUUUCCCUAAGCUCCCGUUAUGACGCUGGUAAAGCCGUUGAGUCCCUCAUGUAUUUAUUUAACCACGUCCCUUCAACCAUGUCCCGGGCACCGCCCUCCCCUUCCUCGACCAAAGCGGCUCAUCAAGAUGUUUUCCUAAACAAAACUGUUCUCACCCUGCUAAAUGCAUCGAAAACAUGCCAUCUGCUGUAUACGCUGGUCUCCUGAGAAAUUGAGGAGUCCAAGCCCGCAGCUGAGACUCAGAGCUCCUCGCCACCAGCUGCCAGGCUGAAGCUAGACCCCGGGGUCCCAGGAGUGAAUUUGUCAGCGUAAAGGCCGCCUUGGGCAGCCUCUCGGCAGCCUGCCGACAGCCCCUUCCCGCGCCACUCCGUCUGCCUGGGCACCACGUAGAUCAAGCCUCAGAUGUGCGGGCCCGAGGAGAAAACGGAGGAUGGCAGCGAGGACCGCUCGCCAAGCCGAGAUGAGAAAACUUAAACACGGAAAGAAAACGUCUGAGCUGGGGUCUGAACCACCGAGCUUAGCCAAGCGUGGGUCCGGAAUCUGGUCUCCUAACCACCACUCCAUGCUGCCACCACUAUAGGGCUCCGCUCCCUUGAAAAAGUCCACCUGCUAUAGCUAUCCUCUGUUUGACACAAGAGAAACUGAAGAACGGGAGAAAUAAAGAACUGUAAUAGAACACUGCCAAAGGGGACGAUCAAAAGGAACCUCGAGCUCCUUUCAGAGCCAGAGGAGGAAAGAAAGAGGGAGCCAGCUGCCACAGGAGCCGAGGGAGGGACGCUGGCGGGGGCCACAGGGGAAGACGGAAGCGCUCCGGGUCGCUGGCCCUGUGCCUCUCGGACGUGGCAGAGAAGAGUGCACGCGUGACAGGGAGAAGCCAGCUCUGAGCCCGUGCAAGGUGGCUUGCGAGUGUGCAAAUGAGCUCCUGGCUACUUAAAAUAAAGUCCUUUGGUCUGGACCAAUUAUAUCCCAGCUGCUGAGAAGUAGAUGCCGAGUCACUGCCCGUGGUCUUUGGAAACUUGCGGUGGAAACAAGCUGGAAGGUGGACGAGGGUCAAAAGGCCAUUCUCGUUUCUUUGAAGGGGAAGGACGUGGAGACUUCAGACAUUGGGC